GAGUUUGAUCCUGGCUCAGGAUGAACGCUAGCGGUAGGCCUAACACAUGCAAGUCGAACGGUAACAUGAGAGCUUGCUCUUGAUGACGAGUGGCGGACGGGUGCGUAACACGUAUGCAACAUACCCUUUACAGGGGGAUAGCCCAGAGAAAUCUGGACUAAUACCCCAUAAUAUCACGGAUUCGCAUGUUUCUGUGAUUAAAACUUCGGUGGUAAAGGAUUGGCAUGCGGCCCAUUAGUUUGUUGGUGAGGUAAUGGCUCACCAAGACUACGAUGGGUAGGGGUUCUGAGAGGAUGAUCCCCCACACUGGUACUGAGACACGGACCAGACUCCUACGGGAGGCAGCAGUGAGGAAUAUUGGUCAAUGGACGAAAGUCUGAACCAGCCAUACCGCGUGCAGGAAGACAGCCCUAUGGGUCGUAAACUGCUUUUGUUUGCCAAGAAACCUCCCCACGUGUGGGGAGCUGACGGUAGCAUUCGAAUAAGGACCGGCUAACUCCGUGCCAGCAGCCGCGGUAAUACGGAGGGUCCAAGCGUUAUCCGGAUUUAUUGGGUUUAAAGGGUCCGUAGGCGGAAAGAUAAGUCAGUGGUGAAAGCCUGUGGCUCAACCAUAGAAUUGCCAUUGAUACUGUCUUUCUUGAGUACACAUGAUGUGGGCGGAAUGUGUCGUGUAGCGGUGAAAUGCUUAGAUAUGACACAGAACACCGAUUGCGAAGGCAGCUCACAAAAGUGUAACUGACGCUGANGGACGAAAGCGUGGGGAGCGAAC
RNAcentral lists this ribosomal RNA (769 nucleotides) under uncultured bacterium. RNAcentral describes it as "bacterial SSU rRNA". It matches the Rfam family "Bacterial small subunit ribosomal RNA", at positions 9 to 773 of the family's 1533-position model. The record is from RNAcentral.